This 253-nucleotide ribosomal RNA is filed under the name uncultured bacterium. Its description in RNAcentral is "partial 16S ribosomal RNA". It matches the Rfam family "Bacterial small subunit ribosomal RNA", at positions 524 to 776 of the family's 1533-position model. The record is from RNAcentral.
UACGUAGGGGGCAAGCGUUGUCCGGAUUUACUGGGCGUAAAGAGCGUGUAGGCGGCCACGCAGGUCCGUUGUGAAAACUGGAGGCUCAACCUCCAGACGUCGACGGAAACCGUGUGGCUAGAGUCCGGAAGAGGAGAGUGGAAUUCCUGGUGUAGCGGUGAAAUGCGCAGAUAUCAGGAAGAACACCAAUGGCGAAGGCAGCUCUCUGGGACGGUACUGACGCUGAGACGCGAAAGCGUGGGGAGCGAACAGG